AAACAUCAUUUUGUAAAACUCUAAGCACAUUCUUUGUGGAAGUAGCACUCAAAAUUGGAAAAUCAAUCAAGGAUAGAGUAGAGUUGGUCACGGCUUUUCCCUUAGCUUUCCAAGCAAGAAUUGACGUUUAAGCCAUUAAUGUCAUUCCCAUUCUUUGAAAAUAGUCUUGAUUCUCAAUGCAAGCAACUGAUAGCUCAAUAAUAUUUUGGCAGACUUCUAUUGGGUAGUAGGUUGCAUUUGUGGUGCUGGCUCAUUCGCUUUGGUUAGCCACUUUUACACCAUCCUUCUUCCAUUUUUGGUGCUCCUUCAGCUGAUCAACUAUUGGUGUUCUAGGAAUAGGACAUCAUGUCCAAAAGUCUGACAACUAUCACAAACUCAGAUCUCCAUUCGUAAUACACAGCUUGUUGAAAUAUUGUUCGAUUAGGAUCCAUAACAGCUACAUCUAUUAUCAAAGGCUUCGUCAUAUUCACCUCAACGAGUAUCCUUGCAAAAGAGAUCCUAGUUUGCUUGGAUAUGUAUUCACCAACAAAGAUGGGAGUUCCGAUAGUGUUAGUAAUUCUACUCAGAGAUUUAACCCCCUAACAAUUCAUGGGCAGCUUAGCCAGAGUAAUUCAUAGAGAAAUAUCAGUUAAGAAGUCCUUUUUGAAAUCAAAAUUUGAGGUCCCAGGCUUCAAGACAAUAGGUCUAUCAUUAAUUGAUUAAGGGCCAGCAUGCAAGAUUUCUUACAUAUCAUCCAUAGAUUGAAAAUUGAUGAUGUAAUAUCUGUCCCAUGUAAGAACAAAUCCAGCUCAGCUAUGUUAUUCCACUGUUGUGAUGUGCGAC
Molecule: long non-coding RNA, 822 nt
Filed under: Capsicum annuum
Lineage: Eukaryota; Viridiplantae; Streptophyta; Magnoliopsida; Solanales; Solanaceae
Description: long non-coding RNA (CANN_LNC017749)
Source: RNAcentral